AUACGGAGGAUCCGAGCGUUAUCCGGAUUUAUUGGGUUUAAAGGGAGCGUAGGUGGAUUGUUAAGUCAGUUGUGAAAGUUUGCGGCUCAACCGUAAAAUUGCAGUUGAAACUGGCAGUCUUGAGUACAGUAGAGGUGGGCGGAAUUCGUGGUGUAGCGGUGAAAUGCUUAGAUAUCACGAAGAACUCCGAUUGCGAAGGCAGCUCACUAGACUGUUACUGACACUGAUGCUCGAAAGUGUGGGUAUCAAACAGGAUUAGAUACCCUGGUAGUCCACACAGUAAACGGUGAAUACUCGCUGUUUGCGAUAUACAGUAAGCGGCCAAGCGAAAGCAUUAAGUAUUCCACCUGGGGAGUACGCCGGCAACGGUGAAACUCAAAGGAAUUGACGGGG
This 393-nucleotide ribosomal RNA is filed under the name uncultured bacterium. RNAcentral's name for it is "partial 16S ribosomal RNA". It matches the Rfam family "Bacterial small subunit ribosomal RNA", at positions 523 to 918 of the family's 1533-position model. The record is from RNAcentral.